This 291-nucleotide ribosomal RNA is filed under the name uncultured bacterium. Its description in RNAcentral is "partial 16S ribosomal RNA". It matches the Rfam family "Bacterial small subunit ribosomal RNA", at positions 773 to 1060 of the family's 1533-position model. The record is from RNAcentral.
GUGGAUUAGAUACCCUGCUAGUCCACGCCGUAAACGAUGGAUACUAGGUGUGGGGGGACUGACCCCCUCCGUGCCGCAGUUAACACAAUAAGUAUCCCACCUGGGGAGUACGAUCGCAAGGUUGAAACUCAAAGGAAUUGACGGGGGCCCGCACAAGCGGUGGAGUAUGUGGUUUAAUUCGAAGCAACGCGAAGAACCUUACCAGGGCUUGACAUCCUACUAACGAAGCAGAGAUGCAUUAGGUGCCCUUCGGGGAAAGUAGAGACAGGUGGUGCACGGCCGUCGUCAACU